AGGGCGCACGGUGGAUGCCUUGGCACUAGAAGCCGACGAAGGACGUUACUAACGACGAUAUGCUUUGGGUAGCUGUAAGUAAGCGUUGAUCCAGAGAUUUCCGAAUGGGGGAACCCAGCACGAGUUAUGUCGUGUUAUCGACAAGUGAAUUCAUAGCUUGUCAGAAGGCAGACCCGGAGAACUGAAACAUCUUAGUACCCGGAGGAAGAGAAAGAAAAAUCGAUUCCCUGAGUAGCGGCGAGCGAAACGGGAAGAGCCCAAACCAAUAAGCUUGCUUAUUGGGGUUGUAGGACACUCUAUACGGAGUUACAAAGGAAUAUAUUAGACGAAUCAUCUGGAAAGUUGAAUCAAAGAAGGUAAUAAUCCUGUAGUUGAAAAUAUAUUCUCUCUUGAGUGGAUCCUGAGUACGACGGAGCACGUGAAAUUCCGUCGGAAUCUGGGAGGACCAUCUCCUAAGGCUAAAUACUCUCUAGUGACCGAUAGUGAACCAGUACCGUGAGGGAAAGGUGAAAAGUACCCCGGAAGGGGAGUGAAAGAGAACUUGAAACCGUGUGCUUACAAGUAGUCAGAGCCCGUUAAUGGGUGAUGGCGUGCCUUUUGUAGAAUGAACCGGCGAGUUACGAUCUGAUGCAAGGUUAAGCAGGAGAUGUGGAGCCGUAGCGAAAGCGAGUCUGAAUAGGGCGUUGAGUAUUUGGUCGUAGACCCGAAACCAGGUGAUCUACCCAUGGUCAGGUUGAAGUUCAGGUAACACUGAAUGGAGGACCGAACCGACUUACGUUGAAAAGUGAGCGGAUGAACUGUGGGUAGCGGAGAAAUUCCAAUCGAACUUGGAGAUAGCUGGUUCUCUCCGAAAUAGCUUUAGGGCUAGCCUCAAGUGAUGAUUAUUGGAGGUAGAGCACUGUUUGGACGAGGGGCCCCUCUCGGGUUACCGAAUUCAGACAAACUCCGAAUGCCAAUUAAUUUAACUUGGGAGUCAGAACAUGGGUGAUAAGGUCCGUGUUCGAAAGGGAAACAGCCCAGACCACCAGCUAAGGUCCCAAAAUAUAUGUUAAGUGGAAAAGGAUGUGGCGUUGCCCAGACAACUAGGAUGUUGGCUUAGAAGCAGCCAUCAUUUAAAGAGUGCGUAAUAGCUCACUAGUCGAGUGACACUGCGCCGAAAAUGUACCGGGGCUAAACAUAUUACCGAAGCUGUGGAUUGUCCGUAGGACAAUGGUAGGAGAGCGUUCUAAGGGCGUUGAAGCAUGAUCGCAAGGACAUGUGGAGCGCUUAGAAGUGAGAAUGCCGGUGUGAGUAGCGAAAGACGGGUGAGAAUCCCGUCCACCGAUUGACUAAGGUUUCCAGAGGAAGGCUCGUCCGCUCUGGGUUAGUCGGGUCCUAAGCUGAGGCCGACAGGCGUAGGCGAUGGAUAACAGGUUGAUAUUCCUGUACCACCUAGCAUCGUUUUAAUCGAUGGGGGGACGCAGUAGGAUAGGCGAAGCGUACGAUUGGAUUGUACGUCNAAGCAGUGAGAUUGAGUGUUAGGCAAAUCCGGCACUCUUAAGAUUGAGCUGUGAUGGGGAGAGGAAAUUGUUUCCUCGAGUCGUUGAUUUCACACUGCCGAGAAAAGCCUCUAGAUAGAUAAUAGGUGCCCGUACCGCAAACCGACACAGGUAGUCAAGAUGAGAAUUCUAAGGUGAGCGAGCGAACUCUCGUUAAGGAACUCGGCAAAAUGACCCCGUAACUUCGGGAGAAGGGGUGCUCUUUAGGGUGCAAGCCCAGAAGAGCCGCAGUGAAUAGGCCCAAGCGACUGUUUAUCAAAAACACAGGUCUCUGCUAAACCGUAAGGUGAUGUAUAGGGGCUGACGCCUGCCCGGUGCUGGAAGGUUAAGAGGAGUGGUUAGCUUCUGCGAAGCUACGAAUCGAAGCCCCAGUAAACGGCGGCCGUAACUAUAACGGUCCUAAGGUAGCGAAAUUCCUUGUCGGGUAAGUUCCGACCCGCACGAAAGGCGUAACGAUUUGGGCACUGUCUCAACGAGAGACUCGGUGAAAUCAUAGUACCUGUGAAGAUGCAGGUUACCCGCGACAGGACGGAAAGACCCCGUGGAGCUUUACUGUAGCCUGAUAUUGAAAUUCGGCACAGCUUGUACAGGAUAGGUAGGAGCCUUUGAAACGUGAGCGCUAGCUUACGUGGAGGCGCUGGUGGGAUACUACCCUAGCUGUGUUGGCUUUCUAACCCGCACCACUUAUCGUGGUGGGAGACAGUGUCAGGCGGGCAGUUUGACUGGGGCGGUCGCCUCCUAAAAGGUAACGGAGGCGCUCAAAGGUUCCCUCAGAAUGGUUGGAAAUCAUUCAUAGAGUGUAAAGGCAUAAGGGAGCUUGACUGCGAGACCUACAAGUCGAGCAGGGUCGAAAGACGGACUUAGUGAUCCGGUGGUUCCGCAUGGAAGGGCCAUCGCUCAACGGAUAAAAGCUACCCCGGGGAUAACAGGCUUAUCUCCCCCAAGAGUUCACAUCGACGGGGAGGUUUGGCACCUCGAUGUCGGCUCAUCGCAUCCUGGGGCUGUAGUCGGUCCCAAGGGUUGGGCUGUUCGCCCAUUAAAGCGGUACGCGAGCUGGGUUCAGAACGUCGUGAGACAGUUCGGUCCCUAUCCGUCGUGGGCGUAGGAAAUUUGAGAGGAGCUGUCCUUAGUACGAGAGGACCGGGAUGGACAUACCUCUGGUGUACCAGUUGUCGUGCCAACGGCAUAGCUGGGUAGCUAUGUAUGGACGGGAUAAGUGCUGAAAGCAUCUAAGCAUGAAGCCCCCCUCAAGAUGAGAUUUCCCAACUUCGGUUAUAAGAUCCCUCAAAGAUGAUGAGGUUAAUAGGUUCGAGGUGGAAGCGUGGUGACACGUGGAGCUGACGAAUACUAAUCGAUCGAAGACUUAAUC
RNAcentral lists this ribosomal RNA (2907 nucleotides) under Staphylococcus haemolyticus. RNAcentral describes it as "bacterial LSU rRNA". It matches the Rfam family "Bacterial large subunit ribosomal RNA". The record is from RNAcentral. Lineage: Bacteria; Bacillati; Bacillota; Bacilli; Caryophanales; Staphylococcaceae.